AGAGCUGAGGCAAGGAGUACCUGGCACUGCUUCACCGCUCAUCCCUUGCUACCAAGAAGCAGGGCCUACAUGUUGGGAAGAUUGCUUUGCUUUUCCAUACCCAUUUUAAAUUCCACAUUCCCCAGGUGGAAUUUCUCUCUCCAUCUCCAUCCUUGGCACUUUUCACAUUUCUGAGCACUUAUUACAGUCUGCCAGAUACUGGGAUUACAUAGGUUUUCUCUAUUCCAUACUGAUCUCCUAGGGAGAGUUCCAUAGUUAUCUCUGCCUUCCACAGUAUAUCAGAGGUCCAAUAAAACCUGGGCAGCUUGUCAAGGGCAAAAACCAGUUGAUUCUAUCUCAGUAAAGCUGGGGCCAGUGGGGAGGGGAGGCAAUAGCCACACGAGUAAGAAGAUGGGUUAUACACAGGCUAUUGCAAUAAAAAGAGCACCCAAGACCCAAAACCUCUCCAUGGGGUGGUUUUGCUUUAAUUUUUAAGGGAAAGGAAGGAGAGUAAAUAAGUGGCAAAGGAGAUGAUUAACAGUGGGGUUGUUUGAAAGCAGGACAAAUUUUGGUCAGUUUUCUUGAAAAACACCGGAAAAUGUUUUUCUCUGUAAUUAGCUUGUUUCAGGGAGACAAACAGUUCUAAUCUCAGCUAAUCAAUCAUGAGACAAAGAACAGGAAGUUGGAGAGGCUCCAUCUAGCCUCGUUUGCUGGUUCAGACAAAGGGGGAAAGGUCUGUGUUUGACCUUGUCUCUGGUCAGGGGAGACACUGUCCUGUUUGAUGAGUCAUGAGAAAGAACGGCCUCCAGGCCUUAAUCUAAGUUACAUGGGGAAGGGCGGUUCUUUGUGUCAAACUGUUUAUUGCAACACAGAAGGUUGGGAAAUUUCUUAACUGUCGCUGUUUUCCAGAAGCACAAGGCUCAGGUGAAGUUCAAUAUUUUCAAACUGAAUGAAAGCAAAUGUGCCGCAGUCUCUCAAGUGAUGCCAAAAGUCACUAAUUAUCAUCUCAGAUUGGAUAUCAAACAGCUCAUACAUAGAAGUGCUGCUAUAUCACUGGGUUUGUAAUCCUGGGACACCCCAAGUACCUGGAAGUCAACAUCAGGUGAAGUGCGGCAUACCCAGAACCUUUCUUUGUCGAAGACGAGAAACUGUUUAGCGACUUCUGUAGUCAUUUAUCUGCUUCUCUAAACCAUGUUGCCUCUGCAACUUGACUUUCUCCAGUGAUUCCACAACCACAACCUUUCGGGCUUUUUUUUUUCUUUCUCACUUUGUAUAUUAGCCUAGAAUCAGUUCUCUGGGGCGCUUUAAUGACCGUGAUUCCUCAUUAUACCCUUCAGUACAUAAGUGACUGAUAAGGGAGGAAGCUUUUAAAUGAGAACCUCACCAGCUUCUGCACUUAAUCAUCAUUGUGUGGAUUUCAGGACUAAUGUGGGACUACUGUUUAUUUAUGAGGACUCCCUAAGUACCAACAACAUUUGAAUGAAGAAGCUGAGCCUUUAAUUGUGUCUUCCUAAUGAAACUGAAUAGUCUGUCUCCUAGGGAGGGGGUCUUGCUGACUGUCAGGUCUGCCAUGUUCAGGAGUCCAAGCACAAUUCUGUAAAGCCCCCUUUCCCUAUCCCUCAGUUGAAAUGCUUCCAAUUAUCAAAGUCCAUAUUUCUAACAAUAGCUCUCUCUCCUGUUGAGCUUUUCCUGAUCACUGUCCCUCAGAGAUUUCUUCUCUAAAUCUGCAAAGCUUUUGUAUCAGUUUGCCUUUUAGACCAGUGCCCCCACAUACAUGCUCCCUAGGUUGUAAGCUGUUGGAAGGCAGGGGCUUCAACCAUAAGCAUUUAAGUUUUCACGGGAUGUUACCUGUGUUGAAUUUAACAUUAACUGAAUGCAGAUGGUCCCCGAGAGCCACACACUUCAAUCCCAGCCCUCCCAAGGGCUGUCUGAGCAAGUCAGGGAAAUGUAUUUCUCAUGUUUGAACUGCUGUUUCCAUCAACUGGGUUGGGUCUUCUUGCCACCAAGACAAUAAUAAACAUGUACCCAAAACUUACAAAGUGAGAGAAGCUUUGCAUCUGAAGGAACUGCACUCCCAAGCAUGUAAAUGUGUGAAAAUUGCUGAAGAGAGCAAAGGAUGCAUGUCGGCUACUAUAUAGAGGGGCUUAUUUAUUUAUGUAAGCAGUUGUUUGCUUUCUUCAGAGAACCAUG
This is a long non-coding RNA of Manis pentadactyla (Chinese pangolin), 2169 nucleotides long. RefSeq lists it as uncharacterized. NCBI's taxonomy places the organism in Eukaryota, Metazoa, Chordata, Mammalia, Pholidota, Manidae. The transcript is spliced from 3 exons. The record is from RefSeq and is a predicted model, not a curated record.